CUCGAGCCUUAAACCGCUUGGAAACGCGCGCCGGGAACGGCUCGGUUGGGACGGAGAAAUGCGAACGCUGGAAUCCGCCUCGGGAUUUGUUAGGAAGGAGCUCGGGCAGUGCCACGUCUUUUUCCUAAAAGUAUGGAACGGUGCGGCUGCUGUUGGCCUUGGAACUGCGCGUAUCCCGCACUGAAUGCAACCCUCCUGGAUCUCCAUGAAGCCCUACAACACUCCUUGCUUCGCACUCUCCCCCACCUCCGUGGAGCUCUGCCUGGCGGUUGCUGCCUGCAGAAAGCCCAGAGCCCAACAUCUGAAGGAUGUUUUAAAGCGUGGGGGGUUGCAUCAUGGCCAGAGCACGGCUAUUUGCAGCGUCACAAGAGCAGCUCCCAGGCUGCACCACGUCAGGUUUCUGCAUGCAGGAGGACAAACGCACAGCACUGUGAUGUACACCCAUCUGCCUUCCUGUACGAGCAAAUGGGUGCACGCACAGGGGUGGAAAUGGCAAGUACUACACUGAAGAAAGGCCUAUGCUUGGGCACAGAUUUGGGGCCCUGAAACAUUUUCCCAUCACCUGAAUGAACGCAAACUUGGACAGUGGCAAAAUCUGACUACAGGCCAGACCUAAAUAGGGCAUUUAGAUGUGCUGACCCUGAGCACAGCUCUAAGUCUCACAUGCCUGAGAGGAACAUGGGAACUGCCAAUGGAUGUCCAAGGCUCAUCUGGCCCAUAGGGACCAGGUAGGUGCAGCAGGUCAGGCUGCAGUGUCACUGGCACCUCUUGUCAGCACUCUUGUCCAUUGAGUCUUGGAGUUUUUCAUCUGAAGUUUUACAAAGGAUUUUUAUUUUUUAAGAAAACAAAAGGAACAUGAACAACAUCUCAUGUUAUCUCUGUUUGAAUCCCACAGGGCAGCAAAAGAUCUGGGCAUGGAUGACUUCCAGUGUCUUCUAAAGCACUACCCGGUGAGCCGGCAUAGCAGAGAGCAGCGUGGCUUACCUCUGUAAAUGGAGAAGUCUGAGUGUCUGCUCUCUGGAGAGGCCUUCUGACUACACCUCCAGGAUAGGAAGAUGCCAAGUACUGCUUAUGGUGUUCUACUUCAGCUACUGCUUGCCACCAAAAGAUCCUGUGUGUCUUCUUCUGAAAAGUAUCGUUUCAGUCCUUAGCAGAAGCAGGGCAUUAAAAUAGAAGAAUAGCUAACAUGCAAUAUUGCUGUUAAAAUUAUUAAAAAUGGAGAAUAAAAUUUGCAUUACAAAAUGUUUAUUUUCUGCAGCUGCAGACAUCCAGCCACGAGAAGUAUUAUUUCUGAAGGAUUCAAGAUGUUGGAAGAAACAGUUACAGACAGCCUUCCUCCAGCAGCUUCAAAACUUCUGUUCUAUUCAUUCUCC
Molecule: long non-coding RNA, 1373 nt
Organism: Gallus gallus (chicken)
Lineage: Eukaryota; Metazoa; Chordata; Aves; Galliformes; Phasianidae
Source: Ensembl